RNAcentral lists this long non-coding RNA (36800 nucleotides) under Populus tremula. Its description in RNAcentral is "long non-coding RNA (PTRE_LNC001925)". The record is from RNAcentral. Lineage: Eukaryota; Viridiplantae; Streptophyta; Magnoliopsida; Malpighiales; Salicaceae.
GCCAUUUUCCAUUCCAGAGAAGUACUCAGGAAGUCUUAAUAAGUUCAAGUGUAAGGUAACUUUUACCCUUCCCAGCUCUAAUUAGGUUUCGCUGUCCCUCCAAUCUAAUUUAAGAUCUAAUAUGAGGAAACCACACUGUAUUAGUGAAAGGAUCACAAUAUCAAGAUUUUCCAACUUCAAUUCACUGAUAUAACUUUUCUUGAAUCCUGGACAAAAGAACUUAGAACAUCAAAAGAUCAUAGCAGGAUUCUAAAAAACAAAGAUUGUAUUUGGUGCCUAUUGAGUCUAAAAGUUAUCUUGGAUGAAAAGGGUAAAAAUCAGUAAUAUGUCUGGUUCAGUAUCAAGAUUUUGAAAAUAUCAAAAGGAAGAAAAAAAAAGGUACCUUGUUUGCUAAUUCAUUUGGAAAAGCACCAUUUUCCUCUGUCAGUUGAGAGUUAGCCGCCGUGUUCUUUCCCACAACAGCCAAAUCUGUCUGCAAAAGCACAAAAAAAUAAAAUAAAAAAUGCUAAGCUUCUCUCAGCUCCUGCACUUGAGCAUGGGGCAUUAAUAAGUGAACUCAUUACUGAAAAUUGAGUCGCUAUACCUGCUCCUUCAGUAUAGGCUUGUUUUUACCUUCAUCAUAUUCUACAUGAUCAAGGCUUGCCUGAGUAUUCUGCAGACCAUGAGAUGCAGGGUCGUUCAUUUUUCCAUAGCCAAGGGCAAACAGCUGGUCCUCUUCUCUCGAAGCCACAGAUAUUGGAAAGGGCUUUACCGGGCUGUUAGUUGUACAUUUUGAAGAAGACCAUAGCUCAUCAGCAUUACCAAGAUUUACAUUGCCAAAUAUUGGGUCAUCAUUGCUGCAAAAUCACCACUUGUGAGGAUAUUGAGUCAGAUGGUUAUCACUGUUCUCCAACAGAAUCAAGAUAAAAUAUAAGAACAUUAGUGAAGAACAGAAAUGCAGGAAAGCCCUUCCACAAUUGAACAAGCUCACCAAUUCCUUACAAAUCCAGUGCUGCUAUAUUACAUUCUUUCUGCCAUUUAUACUUGUAAUUGAGGAUAUUGUGCUGCUAAAAACUCGCAUCCUUCAGGUUCUUUUCACAAUUAACAAAAUUAAGCCAGGAUCAAAAACCAUAAAUUUUCAAACAACUAGUCUUUUUUGUUAGUGUUGCUUUCAGCAGACAGCACUUGUUUGGAAAAGGAUAUAGAUCCAAAACAGAAGAAACUACAAUUAUUAAAAGAGUCUGGUUGUUUUUCCUUCACAACAACACUCUUGUAGUACAUGAUUUUUUUCUUCUGAAAUGAAAAUAGGCAGUGAGCAUAAUUAUUUUGUCCGCGAAACUUUCACUUCACAGUCAGUAAUAAGAAUUUGUUCAAAUUAUCAGAAUAAUGAGAUGUACAAGCUUCCAUAUCAGGGUGCUGCUGACCAUCUUUCAUUUAGGUGCAGAAAGUAAGAAAUGGUAACUGUGCUUUACCUAAAAAUUCGAUCAAGAUCAUCAAAGCUUCCAAUGCUAGCCCAGCCAUAAUCAACAAAAUCACCUUGCUCUUCACCUUCAUGAGGAUUUUGAAAAAUCUCAGUGUCCUUAUCAAGAUGAUCUGUCUCUGCGUUUUAAAAAAAAGAAUUAGAAUGACAGUAGCAUGUAAGAUACUAUGCUAUGAAAACAUCAUGCAACUCGUCACCCUAUCUACAUUUUUUCCUUGUAAUUGAAAUCUCAUCACCUGCUGAUGAAUCGAGUUUGGUAAUCUCAGUUAGAUUGUUAGAGAUUGAAGUUUCCAAGGAAUCCUGCUCAGUUUUGGCAGCAUUACGUGAGGACAAGUUAGGCCAUCGGUCCAUGUCAAGUCCUAAGGAAGAAGUUCCUUCACUUGUGUCAACAUUCGAAAUGCUCUCCAGCUUUCUGCCAUCAGUAUCAACUUUAGCCCCGGGUGCCUUCUGCUCACUAGAUUUAAUGGUGCUAGCUUCUUCACUCGAUUCCUUUUUCUUGCAAUAAUCUUCACUUGCCUCUGGAUAUGGCACGAUAUGGUCAUCACUAUCUUCAGCCUCACCCCAUAUUAUGUUCGUAAGCUGAAAAGAUAGUGAGUAAGCAUCAUCACUAAAUGUGGGAUACAUGAGAAGAAUGAAACAGUCACAAGUUAAUCUCUGGGUAACUUGGCAAGACUAUUUUCCCCAACAUAAUAUUCUGAAUAAUACACUAAUUAAUCAGUUCAGUUCCUUGUAAGGUGUGCGUGGGCACAUAUGAGCACACAUGUGUGUACGAGAGUUGCUAGUGUCAAUGAGUUGGGAACAAAAUAUUUAAUUGAGUCAUGCAGAAAAUACUAAAAUGUUCUAAAUUGUGUUAAAAAUAAAAUAGAAAGUAGAAGCCAUUGGCAUGAUUCAUUUAAAAAUUUCUACAAAAUUAAAAAAAGAAAACAAAACAAAAGGAGGAGAUGGCCCAAAGCAUGCUCUCAAUAAGAUGAAGUAAGACCUAAAGCUUCAUUGCAUGUACAGAGCACUUUGGAAACUUCAGUCUGGACAAAUAAAACCAAGGCAAAGUAUCUUCUUUUUGGAACUAAUUUCUUCACAGUAAGAUAUAACAUCCAACGCUACCUGCAUCACUUUCUCAUGGUCCUCUCUGACUCGAGUGAUCAUAAACCUUCUCAAAUCCCAUUUAAAGAAGAUUCCCUUUCUCACUUUUCGUUGGUAUUAUUUGACACCAAGAUCACAACCAAACAUUACCAAUAAGUGUGUCACCGGAGAAAGAAACUUAGGUGCCCUAAUACCAUAAAUAAAACCUAUUCAAUAAAAAUUAGACAAUAUUUUAUAGCUGUACAUCUAUAAUCAAAGUAAAAUGCCCAAAACUCUGAAUCCUGAAUAUGUGAAUCAAAGUAAAAGGCCCUAACUGAUGCACCAUCAGCAGUCUCCUACUUUGACUUGUGAUUAAUGACCUAGCAGUUCACUUCAACAACAUUAGUGAACAUAAGUUUGAAUUUCAGACCCAGCAAGAAGAAGUACAUUUUCCAGUAGGCAUGCAUAUCACCUUUUUAUCAAUAUCCAUGGAAGACAAACCAAGCAAUAUCAAGUUUUUUUCUGCUGGAUAUCCAAUAAAAAAUACCUCAUAGUGUGAACAUCUUUAAGAAGGAGGAUAUCACAUUGCACCCCAUCAACUGAUCCACAAAUAAAUUUGCAUCUUUCCAUCAGUUCCAAGCUCUUUGUAAGGAAAAGGGAGGGAAGUGCCUUCAAAGAUACCUUCUUCAUAGCUUCUUUAGAUAUGAAUCCACACGGCUUUCGUAAUCACCAAUCACUAUGCGCAGCUUCUCUUAUCAUCACAAGCUCCAUCUCUUUCCACGUCCUAACUUCAUUCGAUGAACUCUUCCCUCAGUUCCCAAGAAAAAUUAUAUUCAUCCCUCCUGCAGCCUUUUCCCUGCAUAUUUCCACCAGCUUCAUAGCUAUAUGGCCUGUGAAAACUGUCGUUGUUGCAGUGAUUCUGAACAACAAAAAUAACAAAGGAUAAUGCUUGUGUUUAAGAAGAGAUUGAUGAAUGAAAAGCUUAAAUACUUUAUUCAUAACUGCAGCUCAAUUUAUAGAGCUGAUACAUAACAAACUCCUACGAUCAUGGUCCUACAUUCAAGCCAUGAUCAAUUGAUAAUGGAAAUAACAGAGCUGCGAAAUAGCAGCAAGAACAAGAGAAUAGGAACAGAAUUGACUAAAUCAAAAAUUAAAGAAAGAAUAAAAUUCCAGCUCAGCAGUCCUGAACAUUAUUUCUAACACUCCUCCUUGUUUAGGAGCUGCAAACUCCCAACUUUGUUCUCAGAAAUUCGAAUUUGUUGACUGGCAGUGGUUUGGUGAAAAUAUCAGCUGCUUGUUCUUCAGUUUUGCAGUAAAUAAGAAUGAUACUCCAAUCUUUCUGCACCUCUCUCAAAAAGAAUAAUUUGAUGUUGAAGUGCUUGGUUUUCCCGUGAAACACAGGAUUAUUAGAGAUGGAAAUGGCAGCUUGAUUGUCAACUAGAAUUUCUGUGCUUUCCUUUUGCUCCAGGUUAAGAUCAGAUAAAAUUUUCCUCAGCCACAAAGCUUGAUUGACAGCAGCUGUUGCAGCCACAAACUCAGCUUCAGCAGUGGAUUGGGCUACGGUUUCUUGCUUUUUUGAAUUCCAUGAAAACACACCAGAACCUAAAGAGAAACAGUAGCCUGAUGUGCUCUUCAAGUCAUCAAUUGAGCCUCCCCAAUCACUGUCAGAGUACCCGACCAGUUUGAACUCUCUACUUCUUGUGUAUCUUAUGCCAAAAUUGCAGGUUCCUUUGACAUAUCUUAUCACUCUUUUAGCAGCCUUGAAAUGCAAUUCACUAGCACAAUGCAUGAAUCUAGACAAGAUACUCACAGCAUUCAAAAUAUCAGGCCUAGUUGCAGUGAGAUACAUCAAGCAUCCAACAAUUUUUCUGAAUUGUGCUUGAUCAACCUUCUCGGCUCCAUCUUCUUUACAUAGCUUCUCCUUUUGAUUCAUAGGAGUGCUUACUGCUUUGCAAUCUUCAAGUUUGAACUUUUUGAGGAUUUCUUUGGCAUACUUCUUCUGACAUAUGAACACUUCAUGUUCAGCUUGCUUAACUUCCAUUCCAAGAAAAAAGGACAUCAAACCCAAAUCUGUCAUCUCAAAUACACUCAUCAUCUCUUGCUUGAACGUCUCCACAUUAUUGUUGUUAUUUCCUGUUACAAGCAAAUCAUCAACGUAAAGUGAGAUGAUAAGGAUGUUAUCACCAUUUUGCUUGAUGUAAAGAGUCGAUUCAGAGAGGCUUUUAGUGAAUCCCAAGUGCUGCAAAUGUUCAUCGAUUCGGCUGUACCAAGCUCUUGGAGCUUGCUUCAAUCCAUAUAGUGCCUUCUUAAGAAGACAGACUUUGUCCUCCUCUCCUUCAUUUGCAAAGCCUUCUGGUUGCUCAGUAUAGAUCUCCUCCUGCAAAACACCAUUUAAAAACGCUGACUUGACGUCCAUUUGAUACACCUUCCAAUUCAGUUGUGCUGCAAUGGCAAGUAGCAGCCUGAUAGUGUCAAGUCUUGCUACCGGUGCAAACGUGUCUGAGUAGUCCACGCCAAAGAUUUGUGCAUAACCCUUCACCACUAGCCUGGCUUUGAGCUUAUUGAUUGAGCCAUCAGCGUUGAGUUUUGUUCGAUACACCCAUUUUACACCGAUUACAUUUCUGUUUUGAGGUCUGUCAACCAACUCCCACGUGUUGUUUCUCGUGAUCAUGAGAAGCUCCUCCUUCAUCGCAGCAAGCCAAUUUUGAUCUAGCUUGGCUUCUUCAAAGUCUGCUGGUUCACACACAGCAAUGUUGCACCUUUGAUACACAUCAAGGAGUGACCGUGUGCCUCUAACAGGAGUGUCAUCUGUCAUGUUGAUGUCCCAAUCUUCCAUGCUUUGAUCAUCUGUGUCUGAAACAAGAUAAUUGCCUUUUGGAGAGGCUGAAUCUUCUUUGAUUGCAUCGUUCCAAUCCCAUUCUUCAUCUUCCAGGAAUUGGACAUCUCUGCUUAUAACGAUUUUUCCAGUUUGUGGCUGGAAAAUCUUAUAAGCCUUUGAAACUAAGCUGUAGCCAACAAAAAUGCCUGGAAGUGCUUUCUUGUCAAGUUUAUCCCUCUUGACCUGUGGAACAAGGGUGAAGCACAAACAUCCAAAUACCUUAAGAAAAUUCAGAGAUGGUUUGUAACCAUACCAUGCCUCAAAGGGUGUUUGAUCCUUCAAGGCUCUUGUAGGCAGUCGAUUUUGCAAGAACACAGCAGUGUUUGCAGCCUCUGCCCAGAAUUUCUUUGGUAAAUUCUUCUCAUGUAGCAAGCAUCUUGUCAUUUCCAAUAUGAACUUGUUUCGCCUCUCACUAACUCCGUUUUGCUGAGGAGUAUACGGAGUUGUUAGCUGAUGAUGAAUGCCUGCCUCCUCACAAAAAACGUUGAAGGCAUUGGAAGUGUAUUCCUUGCCAUUGUCUGAUCUGAGGGCUUGAAUUUUGCAGCCACUUUCAUUUUCAACUUUGGCCUUGAAAUUCCAGAACACCUGUGCUACCUCUGACUUGUGCUUCAAGAAGAAAAUCCAGCACAUUCGGCUGUAAUCGUCAAUGAAGACAGCAUAAUACAGACUCCCAUUUAGAGAGAGUGUCCUUUGUGGUCCUGCAAUGUCAGUAUGAAUCAAUUGCAGCUUCCUUGUUGCUCUCCAUGUGGCUUCUGGAAAGGGCUUCCUGUUUAGCUUGCCAGUGUGACAAGUUCUGCAGCUGGAUAUGUGAUCAUCAAGUGCUGGGAAAUCCUUAGCCAUCAUCUUGGAUUUCAUAAGCAUCAGCCCUCUAUGAUGAUAGUGCCCGAGCCUCUUGUGCCAAAUAUCUGUGAUAUUUUCUUUAAUUGGGAAAGCAGUAUGCUCCUCCUCCAAUGGAUUUAGAGCAAAACUCUUCCCUUUCAUGAUUAUUUUGAAAAUAUCAUGACCAUUCACAUCUUUGAUCAAGCAGCAAUUGUUUUCAAACACUACUUUAUAACCCUUCUCAAUAAGCUGACCAACACUGAAUAAAUUUUGAUUUAUACCAGGGACAUACAAUACAUCAGAGAUGAACUUAGUACCUGAGCAAGUCAAGAUUGCCACGGUUCCCUUUCCUUCAACAACAAGGUAUUCUCCAUUUCCAAUUCGAACCUUUGAAGUUGUUUGUUUCAGCUCCUUGAAUAUGUUUCUGUCAUGUGUCAUGUGGUUGGUGCAACCACUAUCAAUGAGCCAGCUUUCACUUGAGUCAUUUCUGGAAAUGCAAGUGGCCACAAACAAUUGAUCUUCUUCUUCUUGAUCAGCAAUUUGAGCUUCUUCACCAUGCUGUUGAAUUUUGUUUUUGCAGAUGACAGCCUCGUGCCCCAUUUGAUUGCAUUUGUUGCACUUAGCUUCUGGUCUUCUCCAACACUUAAAAUGUGGAUGUGAUCUCCUUUUACAAUGCUGGCAUGGAGGAAAAGGUCCUUUUUUGUUUCCAGUGUUGCUCCUUGUUGAAAUUCCUGGAAUCACCUGAUGAUGCUUGACUGCUUCCAUUCUUCUUGUAAUUCUUUCCUUUUUCUCUAUGCUUGACGAAUAGAGCUCCUUCAAUCUCAUCUUCCUGUCUCAUGAUCCUCCUUUGCUCCUGAGCUUGUAAUGCAUUUAGCAUUUCUGUCAAAGUAAUUUUUGACAUAUCCUUGGUAUUUUCCAAGGAUGUAAUUGUAGCUUCAAAGAUUUCAGGAAUUGUUACAAGAAUUUUUUGAACAAUUCUUGACUCAGGCAGGGACGAGCCAAGUAAACUGAUUCGGCUUGCAAUAUUAAGCAGCCUGUCAGAGUACUCUUUGAUGGAUUCAGUCUUCUUCAUCUUCUGCAACUCGAAAUCACGCAUCAAGUUCAACACUUGCAUACCUUGAAUUCUUUCAUCCCCUUCAUACUCAGUCUUGAGAAACUCCCAUAUCUCCUUUGCUGUUUUCAGAGACAUGAUUCGAGUGAAAAUGGUGGAUGCUACUACAGCAAACAAGCACGCCUUUGCCUUUGAUUUUUUUGUCUUCUUCUCCUUCUGUGAUUUGAUCUGCACCAUGGUGGGAUUGUUUGGAAGUGCAGGGAUUUCAUAAUCUUCUUCCACUGCCUCCCACAAAUCCAAAGCCUCUAAGUAUGUCUCUAUCCGUACUGCCCAAAACUGGUAAUUGUCACCAUUGAACACUGGUGGAGCAAUUGAUGAGAAGCUUACUUCUGUCUCCAUGGGUUACAACACAGAUCCCUUUAAAUCAAGAUGCUCUGAUACCAAUUGUCGUUGUUGCAGUGAUUCUGAACAACAAAAAUAACAAAGGAUAAUGCUUGUGUUUAAGAAGAGAUUGAUGAAUGAAAAGCUUAAAUACUUUAUUCAUAACUGCAGCUCAAUUUAUAGAGCUGAUACAUAACAAACUCCUACGAUCAUGGUCCUACAUUCAAGCCAUGAUCAAUUGAUAAUGGAAAUAACAGAGCUGCGAAAUAGCAGCAAGAACAAGAGAAUAGGAACAGAAUUGACUAAAUCAAAAAUUAAAGAAAGAAUAAAAUUCCAGCUCAGCAGUCCUGAACAGUAUUUCUAAUUUCUGCUGGAUAUCCAAUAAAAAAUACCUCAUAGUGUGAACAUCUUUAAGAAGGAGGAUAUCACAUUGCACCCCAUCAACUGAUCCACAAAUAAAUUUGCAUCUUUCCAUCAGUUCCAAGCUACUUUGUAAGGAAAAGGGAGGGAAGUGCCUUCAAAGAUACCUUCUUCAUAGCUUCUUUAGAUAUGAAUCCACACGGCUUUCGUAAUCACCAAUCACUAUGCACAGCUUCUCUUAUCAUCACAAGCUCCAUCUCUUUCCACGUCCUAACUUCAUUCGAUGAACUCUUCCCUCAGUUCCCAAGAAAAAUUAUAUUCUUCCCUCCUGCAGCCCUUUCCCUGUAUAUUUCCACCAGCUUCAUAGCUAUAUGGCCUGUGAAAACGACUCCCAAAUUAAAACACUUGAGAAGCUCUAAUAGUUUUCUUAUUAUUUCUUCACUCUUUGUCAGUGUGCCACAUUCAAAUACUACUGAUCGAUUCUUCCUCGUCACAACCACUCACUUUCCCCUAAAUCCCAUACCAACUAAAUCAAUAUCUCUUAUCACUUAUCAAAACUCCAUCUAAUUUCCAAAUGAAUCACACCAUUUGAACACUUUGCCAAUUCCUAAUUCCUUCAAAAUUUUCAUCCAUCAAAAAAAAAACUGCAAGUCAUACUUUUUCACUCUAACACAGUUCUCCUUAUAAUCAAUCUUCCAAUUUAACCAUACUCUUGCCUCUAAAUCUGGCACGCAAAGCUUCUACAUAACCUUCCAACGUUACUUCUUGCCUCCCAACAAGGGUGGAGGCAUGCAUGGGCUAGGGUGGGCUCUAGCUCAGGUGAAGAUUUUAUUAAUAUUUUUGUUCUAGUUUUAUGUAAAGAAAAUUUGUAAUUCUCAAUUUACGUGGAGCCUUCUAAUAUGAUGCUUUAACUUGAGUUAAAAUUUUAUAAUUUUUGAAGAAAUUCAGAAAUUUGAUAAAAAACAAAAUCAUAAUUUGACCAAUUUUAUGUUAUUGGGUGUAAUUUUCAAUCUGACCAUCAGAUUGAGCUAAAAUUUUACAAGGAAUCUUAAAAUAUAUUAAAUAAAAUCUGGUUUAAAUUUUAAAAUGAACAGAGUUUGGUAGUGCUAACAAAAAAAACAUCAAAUAAAAGCAAAAUGACUCAUUAAGGGUAAAAUUGUUAUUUGCCAUAAAAAAAAAUCAGUUCUUCCUUCCUUUAUAUGUUGCUGACUGGGCAGAAACAAAAUAGAAAAUGAAAGAAAAGAAAAGGCGAGAGAAAAAGAGAGAAAAGUAAGGGAAAAACAUAAAAAAAAUCCUAGAAAAAAAGAUAAGAAAAGUGAGAAAAUAACCUUAUAAACUUAUAAAGUCCAACUUAUAAAAUAUUAAUCUAAGGAAGAAGCAAGUGAAGGAAGGAGGAAUUGAGAGAGGGAAAAAAUUUAAUUAUUUUAUUUUUCAGUUGACAUGAGAUUGUUAUUUUAUCCCGGUUAAGGGAUUGUUAUAAUAUCAAUUCAAAUUCGAUUAUAGAUGAAUUAUAUUUCACAAAACAUCGAAAGAUGUAACUUUAAUAGUGAGUUUAUUUUUACUUUCACUUUAAUUUUAUAUAUUUUUAAAUUUAUUUUUUAAUAUUUUAGGUAAUGUAUUUGAAUUAAAACUUUACUAUUAACUUUAAAAACUCAUGUACAUUAAUUAAUAAUUUAUCUUAAAAAAAAUAUUAUAUAUUUAUUUAAUAGUGCAGGACAGAAAAAAAAUCUAGCAAAAUUUAUUCUUUCCAACUUUAUUUGUUUUGACUGAAAAAUAAUCUUUUAUUUUUGUACUUCACAGGCAUGUGGUGGCAAAAGUCGAGCACGAUAUAUAUAUAUAUAUAUAUAUAUUUCUUAAGAUACAUAUGGCUGGUGAUUGGCGGAUGAUGGUGUCAUUAAGACUCUUGGUGUGUACCCUCAUCCUUUCUGUUUAUAGUUUAGUCCAUUUGCAGCUUUAAUGGCUACUAUCAGUUGCUUUGGAACCUGAUAUCACUAGUCUCAUUAUGGUACAGACAAGCUCAGGAUGAUCAAUCCUUGAGAAUCCACAUCCAACCAGAAAUAAACCGAAUUUCGAGCAUAAAUGACUCGAACUCGCUGGAAUGCUUUGGCACCUCCUUCAAUCCUAGUUUGGGAAACAGAAACACUAUCACCGUUAGUUUUCACCGAGGAAGACAGCACCCCCAUUCUCUCCUGCUGUGCUGAUGAUGGGGCAUGAGAGAUAGUCCAAAGGAUUUGCCUCACGUUGAAGUAUGCAACUGUCUAUGGUUAGCCUUCUCUUUUGUGAUGCAAGCAGCAACCAAGCUCUGCCUUCACUGCAUAAAGAAAUGAUUGAUUCACGAAGCCUGACUUCUUUGAAUUUGAAAGAUUAGAAUCAUUGGAAGAGAAAGAAGAAAAGGUGUAAAUGACAGCGGAAUGCUAUUAUACCAUCUGCCAAGGUAAUGCCAAGUCUACUUGCGAGGUAUUUAUAUCAUAAUUUUUAAAUAUUAGAUUGUCAGCGCAUACCAAGCAAAGAGCUUCGAUUCACAACGAAAUGAAUCCGUGCUAUGGGUUAUCAUCUGAUAUCAUCAUUCAUCAACAAUUAAUCGAAUGGGUUUAUACAUGAAAUGUUUUUAGUUUCUUAAUCAAUAAUUGAAGUUUUUAAUUGGAAGUCAAAUUAUUCUUAGAGAAUAAUAUAAUUAAACUAAACCUUGGUUAAUUGAUUGCUAGCAAAGGUGUACAUUUACAUGGCUUGAAAAUGAAGCUUAUCUUCCAUUUAAUUUUAUCAAAUAAAUUAUUUAUAGAGUAGUUUUGAGUGAUAUAAAUCAAAUAGGAAUUAAAUCAUGUUAAAACAUUUAAUUUUGUUGUCCCUUUAUAUUACAAACAGCAACAUUACGUAUCAUGUUUAUAAAUUCCAAACCACUCAUUUGAAACUAACGCUUUGUAUUUUUUUUAUAAAAUAAAAUAAAUCCUAACACUGAUGUGGACUAAAAUGUUUUUCAUAUAAAAUAUGAGGAUCAAAAAACUUUCAUGAACAUUUAAAAUAUGAUGUGGACUAACAUUUUUUUUUUGUUAAAAUUAGUUCGGUUUGUACUUUCUAGAUCGUUUUGAUGUGCUGAUAUCAAAAAUAAUUUUUAAAAAAUAAAAAAAACAUUAUUGGCAUACUUUUCGGCACGAAAAGCUAUUUGAAAAACAACAACUACCACACUUCCAAACACCCUCACUUAGUAUAAAAAAGAAAUCAUCACGUCGUUAUUUUCCACUCAGUAUAAAAAAGAAAUCACACGCCUUAGAGGAUAAAUAAGCAAUGCGAAAGUUAAAUAAAUUUAUGAAUUACCAGCAUAAUUCACACUAAUUCCCCUCUCUAACUUGCACCUCAUCAAUUUUUAUUCCUUUACUCUCGAACGAAAAUAAUAAUAUUUAAGUUAUUAAACCCAACUCGAAUUAUAAUUCAAGUAGGGGGUUAACAUAAAUCAAUACAAAGUGAUAUGACUUUAGGAGUUUUUUCAAAAAAACAAAUUAAAAUGAUGUGAACUUUUUUAAAUUAAAUUGAGUUUUAAUUGAUCAAAUAAGUUGGAUUACACCAGGUCAAAUUCUAUCCGAUUUAAUUUAAAAUUCAAUCUAAACUCUUAACUUACCUUCAGUCGGGUUUAAUAACAUAUUGACGUAACUUUAGACAAGUUAAGACAUGUUAUUUGUAUAAUCAGACCAAAUUCUCAAUCUUUAUUUAUCAUAAUAACGAUCCAACCCAUUAAUUUUAAAUGGGCCUAUAAAAACUCUAACUUGCCAUAAAAUCAGCAAUUUUACAUCCUAUUUUAUAAAAGACACUCCAACAUAAUUAAUUAAAAUAGUAUUUGAUAUUGUGGUAAUAAUUAUUUUUUAAAGUAUUUUUUAUUUAAAAAUAUAUUUAAAUAAUUUUUAAUUUUUUAAUUUUAAAAAUUAAUAUUUGACAUUACAUAUUAAAACAAUCUAAAAACAUAAUUUUUAAAAAAAGUUAUUAUUAUUUAAGAAAAACUGUAUCACCAUACAAACAAAUCCAAAAACACAAUUUUUUUAAAACAAUUAUUAUUCUUUUAAAAAAAAUUGUAUCACCAUAAAAACAAAUAAUUUCUAAGAGUGACAGUGAGCAACAGAAAUAAACCAUGGCAGAAACUAAAAAUACCUUUAACGGAAACUGUGCUUCGAUUCACAACGUUUUCAUCCUUGACCAAUGCUUGACAGAGUAGACGACGGGUCAGAACAGAGCUACCAGUCCUGCAUUUCUCGAAGGAUAGUUUUGGAAAUGCUCUAAGACCGUGGCCAUUAUGCUGUGUAUGUUUGAUAAUGCAGUGAAUAUAAUUUUAUAAAAAUAUUUUUCAAUUAAUAAAAUAUUUCUUAAAGAAAUUUUCAAUAAUUUUGUUAAGAAAUUUGCGUGGCCAGACAUUUUAAAGAAUGAUGCUAAAUUUGGGGUUACAUAGGCAGCUGCUGGCUCCUCUUGUAUCUUUUGGGUUAAAGGCAUCGUUUGUUUCCUGCCGUUGUCUAUUCUCCGGUCGUAGAAGCUGACUGCAAUCCUCCGACUCUGUUCUCAUAGUCAGAUGCUUCCUCUGUUUUCUCCUGGCAUUAAAAUUACAGCUCACCCUCAAAUCUUAUUGCCUCUGGUCAUUUUCUUGAAUGGUGCUUGGUGUUGUCUUCUAGCGUUUGCAGUAUCGUAAUUUGCUGGAGUUUUUGUAGUAUUUGAAUUGUGGGUGAUUGAGCUGCAGAAUUUGUGCAAUUGAAUUGAAUUUGUGCUAUGGGUUAUCACGCGAUAUCAUCAUUCAUCAACAAUUAAUUGAAUGGGUUUCUACAUUAAAUAUUUUUAGUUUCUUAAUCAAUAAUUGAAGUUUUUAAUUGGAAGUGAAAUUAUUCUUAGAGAAUAAUAUAAUUAAACUAAAUCUUGGUUAAUUGAUUGCUAGCAAAGGUGUAAAUUUACAUGGCUUGAAAAUGAAGCUUCUCUUCCACUUAAUUUUAUCAAAUAAUAUAAUUUUGAAAUAAAUUAUUUAUAGUAGUUUUGAGUGAUAUAAAUCAAAUAGGAAUUAAAACAUGUUAAAACAUUUAAUUUUGUUAUACCUAGGUCCCUUUAUAUUACUAACAACAAUAUUAUGUAUCGUGUUUAUAAAUUCCAAACCACUCAUUUGAAACUAAAGCUGUGUAUGCUUUUUAUAAAAUAAAAUAAAUCCUAACCUUCAUAUGAGGAUUAAAAAACAUUCAUGAAAAUAUAUGAAAAGCUAUUUUUGUCUCUAUGGGCUAGGUACGAUGUAUUCAGGUAUGGAUAUGGGUCUGGGCUUAGGAUGAUAGAUAUGGGUCCAGUAGGAGCACGAUAUUUUUUAAUGGUAAGGAAUGAGCUAUGCCUACCAGGCUGGUUACUCGGUCCAUUCACCUCUCUACCUGAGGCUUGUAUAGUUUAUUGAAAAAAACAAACUUAUAUCGUUUCUUUUAGAAUUCAUUUCUUUAUAAAGCAUGACAAUGUAACCAAAUUUGCAUUAUCUAUAUAAAAUAAAAGAAAAUAUAUAUUUUCACAAAUUCUACCAUAUUGCUCGACCAAAAUAUUUAUUUUUUGUUUCUAUACAUAUUAUAAUUAGUUACAAAUAUAACACCCAAUUUAAUAAAAUCAUAUGAGCAAAAUUCCAGGACUUUCCAUGGACAAAACCCAAUUUAAUAUAUAUAUAUAUAUAUAUAUAUAUAUAUAUAUUUCUCUACAUAUUCAAUAUAUUCAUCUAAAUGUAUUUAUCUGAAUGCUAUAUUAUCUUAUAAUUUAACUGGGACCAAAGAUAAAUGAUAACAUUUAUUUAAAUGCUAUUUAUGAUUGACACACAAAACCCUGUUUUCAUAGUUAAUUGAAGGAUAAUAAAUGGAAGAAUGACAAAUUGCCAGGUGGAAAGUUAUACCUCAUCACAACAAAUACUUUCCAGCCAAUUAAUUAAUGGCGGUUACAACUAAUUACAACAAAUACUCUUCACUUCUUCUCUAUAGUUAUGUUAAUGGUAAGAAAAGGUUGGAUAUUAGAAUUUUGAAAAAUAAAAUAAAAGAUAAGUGAUGUUCAGAUUAGAACUUGAUAUUUGAUAUAAAAUAUAUAUUUUUUAAUUAAACUUUAAUAACAAGUCAUAAAUCAACUCAAAAAUAGUAAAUAUUGUAAAAAAAAAAUGGUAAUAUUAUACACAAAAAAAGAGACUCAUGAAAUGACAUAAAAAAUAGAAUUUUUGUAUAUUUUUAUCUAUUCAUGAACUUGAACAUGAUUUAUAUUUAUAUAAUCAUACAUUUUAAUUGGAAAAUAAUCAAUAAAGGAAGAAAGAAUCGACUUUAAACAAAUAAAAAGAAAAUAGAAGAUGAAAUAUAAAUCACGUAAGAAUUAAGUCUUCUCGAAGACUAGCUUAAGAGUAAGAAAGAGGCAAAAUCUAUAGGAAUUUAAUUAAUAAAUGUUUCAUGCGUGUUGUUUCGAAUUGUAUAAAUAUAAAGAAAAUACAUUUAUACAUAUUAUAUUAUAAUGAAUAUAUUUUUCUGUGCAAAAUUGUUAUUAUUUUUUCAAAUCAAACCCCCGGUUUGAGUAUUGAGCAUAAAAAGAAUUUGGAUUGUUGAAUCAUUUAAACAAUUAGUGGAUCGCCAAUGAAUCAUUUUAUUAAAAUGAUAUUUUGCUUUUUUAUAAAAAAAUUUAUUAAUAUUGAUUUAACUAAGUUUGUAUCAGAUUUUACCAAAUCAAAUAAAUCAUUACAAAUUCAAUUGAGUAAUUAAGAUUUUAUCUUAUCAAUGUUUUUUUCUAAUUCAAUUUUAAACCUGGUUAAUGCCAGGAUCUGGAGGAUGUGCUUCCUAUAUCAAAUCACCAUGCAGGGAAGAGUUUAAACAUUUUUCAUUUUUCCUAUAUCAAAAAAUUACAUUUCUUAGCAAAACACACGAGUUAUAUAUAUAUAUUUAAACAAAUUACAAAUAAUCUAAUCAAUUGAUUAAAGUUGUGACACCUUAUAGUACGUAGACGACUAUAUAAUACUAUAAGAUAUUUAACAAUAUUUAUUUUUAUGAAGAGUAAUAUGUUGCUUGUCUAUGUAAUUUCUCUUUUAAAUUGGGUUUAAUUUCAAAAUCAACGUGUAACUUUGUACGUAGGGGCAUGUCAUGGGCAGUGUUGGACCAAAUUCUCAAUCUUUAUUCAUAGAGGUGGAUCAUGAUCGAGAUUCGAGCCUAUUAAUUUUAAAUGGAUCUACAAAACCUCUAUUCGGCCAUAAAAAAUAAAAUCUCAGGUGCCCAUCAAUGAUAGGAUCUAUUUUGUAAAAGACAUUUCAACAGUAUUAAAAUAAUGUUUAGUAACGUGAUAUCUGAUAUUUUUAAAAAUAUUUUUUUAUUUAAAUUAUAUAUUUUUAAAAUUUAUAUUUAAUAUUAUUAUAUUAAAAUAAUAUAAAAAUAUAAAAAUAUAUUUUUAAAAAAAAUCUUGGUGUCAAAGUGAGUGAAUAAAAAAAAUAAAUCAUGGCAGAAACCACGAACACCUUUAACAGCAAUGUCGUUUCAGUUUGACAGAGUUGUGUUAAAAAAAAAAUUCCUUCAAUUUGUAUUGACUUUUUAAUGUUUUAAGUUUACAGUGCUCCUAUAUAUAAACAGAGAAGAUGUUCUUAAAAACUAUGGAUUCCUGCUAUAAACAGGACUUAUACAAAUGUGGAAUAAAUCAAUUACUAAACUAUGGAAUAGGACUUAUACAACUGUGGGAUAAAUCAAUUACCAAACUUUUUCUUACAAACUCUCAACUAAAUCACUUUGUAAUUAUACUAACACUUUGAGUCAAGUUAGUGCAAAGAUAUCUUACCCAACUUGUCAAGGGAGCUCUGAAAGUUUUUGCUGAAGACAACUUUUGUAAAGAUAUUCGUGAGCUGAUUCUUUGAUUUGACAAAUGAAAAGUUAAUCACUUAUUAUUUAAGAUUUUGUUUAAUAAAAUGUUUGUCUAUUUCAAUAUGUUUCGUGUGAUCAUGUUAAAUUGGGUUAUAAAAUAUUUUAAUGGCAGCUUAAUUAUCACAGUAUAGGUUCGUUCUUGAUUUGGGAGCAAAACCAAUUUCUGAUAAUAAUCUUCUGAGCUAAAGCAGUUUACGUAGUCCUUUUACCGUCCCUUGAAACUCAACCUCUGUGCUUGACAAGGUAGCUACUUUUUAUUUCUUGCUUCUCCAUGUGACUAAAUUGCCACCAAUAAACGUGAAGUAUGCUCAUUAAUCUCAUGCAUAUUUUGAUUAUUUUGUUGAAUAUUUUAAUCAGGUUUAUGAUAUGGAUUCUUAUAAUAAAAUUUUCAUUUAAUUUUUUUAUUUUCAUGGGGGGUUUUAAUGUAGGGAACAUAGGAAGUGUAAAGGUGGCAACUUUUUUGCUUUAUUUUAUACCGUAUUUAAAGCCAGUGCCUUUGAGGUUUUAUGGCAGCCCAUCAACAAUAUUCUUAGUAGGAUCUUAUCAUUUAUGGUACUAGCCUGUUGGGCCUCCCUUUUCAUUAUUUUAAGCGUAGUUGCCACCCAUCUUUCUGUGGCUCCAUGUUCAUUCUCCAAACCAUUCAUAUAGGUAUCUUAAAUAGUGUAGCUGGAGCUUUACUGGGUAUGCUUUUUAAUAUAUUUUUAAGUAAAAUAUAUUUUUAAAAAUAUUUAAAAAACAAACAUUACUGUACUUUCAAAAACAUAAUCCUCUUGUAUCUGACGCUUUAAAUUCCAACAAUGAGUUACUGAUUAGAUAAUAUCUACAUUCAAUUAAAAAUAUAAUUUCUUGACAGCGAAAUAAAGAAAAAAGUAGCAACCCUGUAAUAUCUAGGUAAUUUCUAUGCUCUUUAAAUUAGGCCUCUAAACUGAGACUGUAAUGAGCCCAUGACAGAGGAAGACAUGAAAGUGUAAUUUCAGAAGACCAUUAUUCAUAUAACAAAUUUAGUAAAUUUAGUAAACUCGUAAAGUUAAACCGAUUUUACUAAUUCUGUACUAGUUAGAUUUGAUUUUAUUAAUUUUAAAUUUUUAGUUAGAUUUAGUAUGUUAAAUAUAUAUUAACUUAAAUUUUACUAAUAACUCAUAAUUUUAACAACCUUGCUUGUAAUAGCUCUUGUGGUGGUUGAUGUUUAAAAAAGAUAAUUGAGAAAUUAUUUUCACUCGUGACUUUUUUGAUUUAAAUAAGUAUUGAAUUAAAAAUAUUUAAUUAAAAUUAUUGUUUUAAUUUAAUUACCACAAAAGAUACUGGUGAAGGUGGAGAGGAUGCAAAAGAUGAUUGGGUAUCCUAUUAAUCGUCAAAACAUCAACUAUUGUGGUCAAUUCUGCUGACUGCUGAGACUAAAAGCCAACCACUUGAAUAAUGGGCAUUAGCUGUUUAGCACUCCUUGGUAAACACUUCAGGCUCCUUUCCCGCCCCUUUCCUCGCUGGUUCCUUAAUAGCUUCAAGGGGUGCGAGCGCCUCGUUCGAGGAUUGAGCAUAAAGGACUAAAAGAGUUCAAUAAAUACUAAAAGACAUAAAGUGAAGUUUUUAUAAUAUUCAUAGCAAUGGUCAUCAGCUAAUUUAUAAUUUAUUUAUCUACUUUAUCAAUGAAAUAAAAGUGAUAAAAGAAAAGGAGAGAAGAAAUAAAGUGAAGUCUUCUUCUGCAUUAUUAGCACAUCACGUGAAAAUAAAGAAUGGCAUAUAAUAAAAGUUAUUCCAAUCAAACCUCCUUUUUCAACCGAUGGGGUCUCUUGUCAAAUAAAGCAAGGACAGACCGAGUAAGAUGUGGGACCUAACUGCACUUUCCUGGCACGCGUAGUUCACGCAUACACAAGCACAUUCAGAAUAGUAUUCAAUUUAAAAACACAAAAAAAAAAUAAAGGAAUAAAAGAAGGAAAAGUGAUCAAAGAAGAAGAGAGAAGAAAUAAAGUGAAGUCUUCUUCUGCAUUAUUAGCACAUCACGUGAAAAGAAAGAUACAAACAAGAUUACUCCAUUUUCCAGUCACUUUUUCAACCGAUGGGGCUUCUUGGCAAAUAAAGCAAGGACAGACCGAGUUGAUGCGCUACGUAACUCCUUUUUCCUGGCCCGCGCAAUUCACGCAUACACAAACACAUCCAGAAUAAUAUUCAUAAAAUUAAUUAACAUCCCGUAAAAAUAUACUUUAAUUUAGAAAAGAUUUUAAAAUGUUAUUUUUCAAAUUAAUAAUAACAAAAUUUUAUAUUAAAUUGGUUCGCUUAAGUUAACCUAUUAGAUUUAUAAUUCAGGUUAUGAAAUUAUAAUACCUAGUUCACAAAUAACCAAAUAUGGUGAAGUUUUUCCAAUCAAACCCUUUUUUUUUUUUAAGAUGUAAUUUCUAGAAAAAUAAAUCAAAGACAAACAGAGUAAAAUUUCAAAAAAUAGAGAAAGAUGGAAAAUCCCACCAAUAUUUAACCCACUUAAAUUGAGUCCAAAUCAUAAAAGCAUCUACAAAGAGUGUGUUAAAUGAAAAGUUAAAAAUUAAAAAAUAUAUAAUUUUGACUCUUUCAUGUUUAUUUUACACACUUCAAAAAAAUAUUAAAUAAAAUAUUAAAAUAUUUUUUUUUCUUAUAAAUACUAUUUCUAAAUAUCUAUCAAAAAAACCAAUACUAAAAAAAUAGAGUCAUCAAAAAAUAAACCAAUUAAAUAUAAUUAUAUGAAAAAAUAUAUUUUAAAUAGUGCAGCCUGAGCUUAAUGGUUAAAAUAAUUUUAUAUUUUUUAUAAUUGUUAACAUCAACACAUUAAAAUCAUUAAAAAUAUUAAAAAAUCAAUAAUUUAAUAUAUUUUUAAAUAAAAUAUAUUUUUUAAAAAAACAUAUAAAUUACUACUAUUAUUUCAAACACACAAUCCUAUUCCAUCUUAAAAUCUGAGCUAUUAGGAUAGUAAAGUUAAUUCGUUAAAUUUACAAUUGUGGUGGUGGGAUAUUAAAAAAAAUCUUAUAUUAAAAUUAAAAAUUUUAAAAAUUCUUGAAUAAAAAAACAACAAAACAAUUAUUCAGGUAAUUGUAUAAAAUAUAAUAAUAUAAUGUAUAAUUUAUAAUUGAUUUAUUUACCUUAUCAGUCUUCUGCUGCAUGAUCACAUCACGUGAAAAGCUUGGCAUUUAGUGAUGUUUUUCCAAUCAAACCUCCUUUUUUCAAAGAUGGAAUCUCGAGGUAAAUAAAUCAAAGACAAAACCGAGUAAAAUGGAGUCCAGAGCAUAAAAGAAUCUCCAAUGAAGCUGCUAAAUGAAUAACUAAAAAUAAUAAUAAAAAAAAAAUUGUUUUUGUUUGUUUUUUAUAUUUCAAGAAGAAAAUCAAAUAAAUCGUUAAAAUAUUUUUUUUUCACAUAAAUAUUAUUUUUAUAUAUCUCUCAAAAAAAUCAAAAUUAAUAAAAUAAAACCAACAAAAAAAAGCCAAUUAAAUCUAGGUAUCUAGAAAAAAAUAACUUUAAAAUCAUUAAAAAAAAAAAAUGUUUAUUUAUUUCACUUUAUCUCGAAAAACAGUAACUUUAAAAUCAUUAAAAAAAAUAAAAUGUUUAUUUAUUUCACUUUAAUAGAAUUGGCUUUUCAAUGUAUUUUUUCUAUUGGAAUAUAUAUUGUAAAAAAAAUAUAUUUAUAUUAUUUAAAAUACUAUUUUAUUAGUUUAUUUUUUUAAAAUAAUAUUUUUUAUUAAAGAUACUCCAACAAGGGCCGAGAGAGCAAAGGCUUUUACGAGUUCUGUGUUCCGUAUACUUCUCAAGGGGAAAAAAAUAAUGUUUUGUUAGAGAUUUGUUUUUGAUAGAAUUGUUAGCGAUCUUAGCCGAUGCAUCUGGAUUAUAAUUUUUAGCAUUUAUACUAUUUUAUAGCGCUAAUAUCUUAAAAAAACUUAUUUUCUAGCUUUUUUUUCAUGGUAUAAUAAAAUAUUAAAAAAUAUUUUUCAACUCAUUAUCCUUAAUACAAUUAAAUUUCAUAGAAUAGUCUAUUUUUUAGAAAUAUAGUUUACUAUGAGAUUUAUUGGAUAAAAGAAAUUCACUUUGUAACAAUGCACUAGAAACUAAAAAAAAAUAAGCUAAUGAUCAUUUAAAAAUAUAGUAUAUUGGAAUCAUCUUGCUGAAUAGGUGAGUUUGGGAGUUUGGUUGCUUAACAGGCGAGUGAGGGUUAAAUGUAUCCAAUUAAAUAAUAUCUACAUUCAAUUAAAACUUAUGGUACAAUUACUUGACAGCAAAAUAAAGAAAAGCAGGAACCCUGUAAUAUCUAGGAAAUUUCUAUGCUCUUUGAAUUAGGUGCCCAAACUAAGGCUAUAAUGAGCCCUGAAUUUACACAGAAGAAAUUUCAUGGGAAAUGGGUUGAUGUCAGAGGCAGACACGGAAACGUAAUUUCAGAAGACUAUGACUCAAAUCAGUGGCUGAAAUCCAAUCACUCAAGGGAUGGUGACACGUUGUCUUGAGUGGGAGACAACUGGUCUUCAGUACAAAGAGAAACAACGUUUUUUUUUUAUUAUUAUUAUUAUUAUUAAAAGCGAGUGUACGAGUUACUUCCAUGUUUUUUAAUUAAUUUUAAAAUUAAUAAUUAUAUAAAUUUUUAAUAAUUAUAAAAAAGUUUAAAUUCAUGAAAAGAUUUGAAUUCAUAAUUAUUAAAAUACAAAUAUAUUUUCCUGAGUGUCUUUGCUCUCGUGACAGCUCACGAUGGUGGGGGGUUUAAAAAAAAAUUUAAAAAAUAUUUUUACUUGUGAUUUAUUUAAUUUAAAUAAGUAUUUAAUUAUAAUUAUAAUUAACGAUAUAUUGUAACUAAAAUUACUAUAAAAAAGAACAUAGUGAAGGUGGAGAGGAUGAGAAUAAUGAUUGGAUAUCUUAAUAAUUGUAAAAAGAAAGUAUUUUUUUAUGGUGAAGUUAUUUGUAUAUGAGAAAAGACUGAGUUUUGUAGCUCAGAAAAAAUAAACAUGUUGAUAUUGCUUUUUAAUAACCCAUGAAUGGACCGUAAAUUGCAACGGGUUCACAAACACAAACAUGUGCUUCACAUGUAACCAAACUUAUUGUUAUCUGCAUUAAAAGCAAAAGAUGCUAAAAACACACACAUUUGAUCGUUGAAGAUGUUUUUAAAUUGUUUUCUUAAUUAUUUUUCAUUUAAAAAAAUAUGAAUCAAAGAAGUUUAAUAAUUAUAAUUAUUAAAUAUUUUGAAAUAAAAUGAUCCAUCUAUAUUAAAAAAAAACAUCAUUCCCACGUGUGGAAGAUAAAAUUAAUCAACCUAAUCUUAUUGGAUUGCAUUUUAUUAAAUCAAACCAUCAGUAUCUUUAAUGCAGGAUAUUUUUGUUUUUCCAAUUCAAGUAUACUUUUUAAUAUAAUAAAUUUUUUUAACCUAUUUUUUUAUUAUUAUUUUAGUAUCAUUUUGUUAUUUCUAAUAGUUUGUGGUUACCAGUUUAGUCCUGAAUUCAUUAUUAGAACCAUCAAUUUUAAAAAUCAAUGUAAGUUGAUUUUUAUUAUUUUUUAUUUUUUAAAAUUAAUUUAUUAAAAAAAAAUUCCAUGAUUUCUUUUUAAGAGACUAACCCUUCAUCGACAAACACUAAUGUACCCUGAAAAACAUAAUCUUAUUACAUCUGACGCUUUAAAUUCCAACAAGGAGCACCUACACAUCGAAAUAAAGAAAAGUACUGAGUGCCUUGGCGGUGGGAGGAGCUCUGCUCCUGAGUUCGAGUGUUUACAUGUAUAUCUAUCAUUCUCGUGGUGUUUUAUAUAUCUAUUGGGUUUAUAAAGUAUUCAGUGGGAUUAGUUGUGGUGCGCGCAAACUGACCCGAACAUCCAAAUAAAUAAAUAAAUAAAGUAGAAACCCUGCAUGUGGGAAAUUUUUGUUAGGCCUCCAAUCUGAGGCUGUAACGAGCCCUGGAUCUACACACAAGAAAUUUCAUGGGAAAUGGGUUGAUGUCAUAGGGAGACAAGGAAGCGUACUUUCAAAAGACCAUGAGACAAAUCAACGGCUGAAAUCCAAUCACUCAAGGGAUGGUGACAUGUUACCAUGAGUGGGAGACUGCUAGUCUCCAUCUAAAUGUUUAAAGAUGACUGGGUAUCUUAGUAAUUGUAUAACAAUUGAUUUUUUUUGCUGAAGUUGUCGGUGUGGAUGAGAAAAUACUGAGUUUGUAGCUUAGUAAAAACAUGUUGAUGUUGAUGUUACUUUUUAUUAGCUCAUGGUUGGCCCGUAAAUUAUAAUGGGUCCCACAAUCACAAACCUAUGAUUCACAUGUAAUUUAUGUUUUACAACUUAUUUUUAAAAUUAUUUUUUAUAUAUAUUUUUAUACCAUUUUUAUUUUAAAAAUUUUAAGUUUAAAAAAUAUUAUUUUAAUAUAUUUUUAAAUAAAAAAUACUUAAAAAAAAAAUUAAUAUCAGACACAGUGAAUGUUUUAUAAAAUUUUACAAUCGCUUUUACAUUUUGUUUAGAUCACAUUUGAAAAUGCGGUACACUACAAUAAAGUCCGUUAUAUGAUUAAGGGUAUGUUUGGUAUUGCGGUUGCUGUUGUGAUUGUAAUUAUGGUUUUAAAAAAAAUUGUUUUAUAAAAAGUAAUUUUAGUUGAGGUUGGUUUGAAAAAAUAUAUGUUUGGUUAAAACUGUAGUUGAAAUUGAGGUUGAACAAAAAAUAGUUUAAUGUGUUUGGUUAAAAAAAUGUUUUUCAAAUUGAUGUUAUAAAAUCAUUAAUAUAUAUAUAUACUAAUAUUAAUUAUUUUUAAUUUAAAUAUUGUAGAUUUAACUACUGUUAUUACAUCAUGAAAUAAAUAAUAUUAAUAUCAAAUAUUUUUUAUUAUUAGAUUAAAAUAUAUGUAAUCUCAUUACAUAUGAAAUCUAUCAAACAAGGACUAUAUUUUUCAUGGUUUCUUAAGCGUGCAACAACAAAAACUGAUUUUUUAAAUUUAUAUAGUGUUAUUAAAUAAUAAAGAUUGUGAUAUAUUUAUUAUUGAAAUUGCGAUCAAAUUUCAUAAAUGCUACGUCAUCAUGCGAUAUCUUUCUAAUUUAUAUAGUGUUAUUAAAUAAUAUUAAAUACUAGUUUUUCGAGUAAAACAAUUUAAAAAAAUAUAUAUAAUUUCACUACGUACAAAAGUUAUUCGACAAAAACUACAGUUUUCAUGAUUUUUUGAGCAUGUAAUAAAAUUAGGUAAAAUAUUAUCACGAAUAAAAUUGAGAUUACAGUACGAGUAAAUUUAAUUCACCUUAAACUAAUUUUUUUAAAAAAAAUAUCGUUUACUAUUAACUGCACUGGUUUUUUAGGGGGGAAAAUAAACUUUGCUCACCGGUUUUUUUUUUUAAAAAAAUAAAUAAAUAAACUUUUCUUACAGAUUUUUUCUUUUUUUAAAAAAAGAAGACAUGGUGACAAUGGAGCCAUGCUCCACUGUUAAGUGGUUGUUACCCACGAGAAGCAGUAAAAAUAACGUGGACCCUAUCAAGCAAAAUCAAUCUUGCUUGAUUACCAAACAUUAAAAUAUGUGGCUGCGAGUAAACUCGCCACACUACCAAACAACAUCUAAAGUCUUUAAUUGUCUUGCAUUUAUCUUUAAAACUGCUAUAAGAAUUAAUUAAUUGUGUCAAUUCAAUUCUUUCGAUUGACAUUGAUGCCAAACAUGUUAAUUCAUGAUAUAAUUAAGCAAUUCAAUACAAAUUUACUAAUAUAAUUUAUUUCGGCUUAAACCUUUGAAUAAAGCAAAAUGCAGAGGUUGUGAAAGUGAAAUACCUUAAUAAUUUUUAUGCUUUACAACUCUAGGAGCCACACAAAAUAUAAUGCGUUUGUUACUAUUUAUUUGUUAAAAAGUAUUUUUUUUAUUAAAAAAUGAUUUUUUAAAAAAUAAAUUGAAAAAUAUUUUUUAAUAUUUGAUUAUUUUAUAUAAAACAAGCCAAAAAAUAUUUUUUUAAUUUUCUUCUCAAAUUUAUUAAAAGAAUAAGAAACAAAUAUUUCAAAUAAAAAUAUUGAAGGAAGAUGAAAUUAAAAAAUAUAUAUAUUUUUAUAAAUUAUUUUAAAUAAAAUAAAUAAUAAUUAGAAGAAUAAGAAACAAAUGAAAAAUUAAAAAAUUAAAAAAAAAUAAAACAGAAAUAAAUAAUAAUCAAAAUAAAAAAUUAAUACAAAAAUAAUAUUAAACCAAUAAUUUAAUUUAAAAAAAAACAAAAUAUAAUUUAUAAUUUAUAAUUUAUUUAUUUGCUUUAUCAAUGAAAAGUGAUGGUAGGAGGGAGAGAGAGAGGAAAUAAAGUGAAGUCUUCUGCUGCCUGAUCACAUCACGUGAAGAGCUUGGCAUUUAGUGAAGUUUUUCCGAUCAAACCCACUUUUUUCAAAGAUGGAAUUUAUUGGAAAAUAAAUGAAAGACAAACCGAGUAAAAUGGAGUCCAGAGCAUACAAGAGCCGAGAUUGAAACAGGAAAUGCAAGAAAAAGAAGAUGGGCCCUUGUUUUCUCUUUUUACGGCCGGCGACCGGAUAUAAAAAGGGAGGAGAUGAAGCUUUCAAAUUAUUUUCAAUUUUGCGGUCACUUAUUGUGUCCAUGUCAUUUUGUGUAAUUGCCCAGCUACCGGUACUAUUUUAACACUGUUAAAAGUCUAAAUCAUCAAUAUUUCCCCAAUUUAUCUCUAAAAAAAAUUCACUUCAAUUAAUAGCAUUUUUUUAUUAUUUCUUAUGUCAAUGUUUACCUCUUUUUGAUAAACUCGUAUAUUUUUGUACCAGAGGUCUAAAAUUAUUCUGUCCACUUAUUACUUAUUUAAAUUUAUUAGAAUGUUUUAAAUAACUUUUUUAAAUUUUAAUCCCAGAGUUUACAUGCAUAAUACAUGAGUUAUAUAAAUUAUGAUUCAAAAUAUUGUUAUAACUAAAUUAAAAGAAAAAUUCAGAGUUAAUUUCUUGAAUAUUAAGUUUUCUGAUUUUUCUAUAUAAUUAAUUUUUUAAGUUGAUUUGAUUAGUAUUAUUAUACUUUUCUCAUUCUCGAUAAAAGAAAAAAGAAAAAACCAGAAGAGUAUUUUCUUUCUAUUGAAAAUAUUUGUGGUUAGAAGAAAGUAAUUUUCACUGGAGUGUCGUUUUGGGAUGCAACAUGAACUUGACCUGUCUAAUUUGUACGGCAUGAGAAGAUGUUGCUUUACAUGGCUUCCUCCUUAAAAAAAUUCCAUCACAUUUGAGAAUUUUGUUAUAAAAAAGAUAUCUCUUUUAAAGAAGAAAAGUGAUACCUAAAAUUUAUAAAUGAUCUAAACUCUUAAUUUUUAAUCGAUGUAAAAUGUUAGAGUAUCAUGUUCCUGAAAAAAUCUUUCUAAGUGUAUAAUAUGUUGCAUUUGGGGCAAAAUUAAUAGUUUUGAAUGUUUUUAUUACUGAAACUUUUUUUUUUCUCAACCUCUUUUUCUCUCUCUUCUUGUCAAAUACAAAAGGUUUUUUUUUUAAUUUUUUAAAUAAUUUUAUUUUUAUUUAUUUUAUUUUUAUCUUUUGUAGAUUUGUUUUUUUAUUUAUUUUGUUUUUUAUCGUUUGAUUUUAUUUAUUUUUUUAUUAAACAUUAACUUUAUUUUUAUUUAUUAUUUUUUUAAUUAAACAUCCUUUUUAAUUUAUCUCUUAAUAUUUAAUUUUAAUAUCAAAUUUAAUUAGUCCUAUUUUAUCUUACACUUUAAAUUCCUACAAGUACCCGAUCAAACAAUAUCUGCAUUCAAUUAAAACUUAUGGUACAAUUACCUCAUAGCGAAAAAAAAAAAAAAGUAGAGACCAACUAAGAAAUUUAUGUGCUGUUCCCAGCUAUGUUGCUGACAUUGGACAAGAGAGACUUCUUCAGCCACCGAUAAAAUUAUUUUUGUUGACUUUUUGUGCAGUUUGUCACUUUGCUUCGAUCUUUCUCUCUUUGCACCACAAACACUUGGACAUGGUAGAUACCAAGCACGGUUUUGCUGUCAAUGUACGAUACCAUAUUUGACAAUAUCUUUUUUUUUCUUUUUUCUUUUUUAUGAAGAGUAGUAUGUUGGUUAUCUAUGUAUGUUUUUUAAAAAAUCACAUAUAUAUUUAUCUAAAAUUAUUGAUAUUUAAAAAAUUACAUUAUUUUUUUAAUAAUUCGUUCCGCUGUUCUUUUAGAAUUAAGCGAAUAUUAUGCAAAGCUUCAAGUUUUGUGUAAUUGUUUUUAAUACAAGAGAGUUUAACCAUUUUAAAAUGUUUAAUGAGUUAUUUAAAAUAUUGAAAGUAAUGUACAAUAACUAAUUUAUAAUUUUAUCAUUGCUCUUGCUUUAUUAUAGGUCAAGUCAAGAUUUUCUUAAAAAUAAAAAAUUAUUUAAAUUGUGAAUGUUUUAAUUUAUUCUGGUAAAACAAAUUUAAAUUGUGUGGUGAUUUAACUUGAUUGAAUUUGUAGUUUAAAAAACAAUCUAGAUAACCAGUAAAAAUAUAAUUUAACUCGUAAAAAAUUUCAAGAUUACAUAUAUUUUUUUAAUAUUAAGAUAACAACAAAUUAAUUGAUUUGGGUCAACUCAAUUUAACUUAUUAAAUUCAUAACCCGAGUUAUGAGAUUAUGAUAACCAUGUAGAAAAUAAAUUAUUAAGUCUAAUUCUCAACUACCAAAUAUUAAAAGAUAAAAUUAAAAUAAAUAAAUAAACCAUGUGGAGAUUGAUUCGAUGUGACUUAAUUGAUUUAGCUUGUUCAAAAACAACCCGGAUAAUCAGUAAAAAUAUAAUCUGACUUAGAAAAAAAUUCAAGAUGAUACUUUUUUUCCAAUACAAAGAUAAUAAAGUAAUAGAUUGAAUUGGGUUAACCAGAGUUAACUUGUUAAAUUUUUUAUCUGGGUAUAAGACUGUGAAAUCUAAUUCCUAUUCAACUAAAUAUUUAAUGGUAUAAUUGAAAAAUAAAAUCAAUUAAAAAAUGAUCUAAAAAUAUGAACAUAAUUAACAUGUCAAGUUCAUAACCUAUGUUAUAAUAAAGAUACAAUCUUAUAGAAAAAAAAAAUCAAAAUAAAUUAUGAAGUUCAAUCUUAAAUAACCAAAUUUUAAAAGAUAAAUUUUUUUAAAAAGAACGUAAAAAUGACCCGAGUAAAUCCACCAAACUCAUAACUCGUUAUGAGAUCGAGAUAAUCUUAUAUAAAAAAAAAUUACAUGAUUUAACUCGUCAAAUCUAUGACUUUGGUAACAAGACCAAGACAACCUCUUAAAGAGUAAAUAAAAAUAAAUUAAAAGUGCAAUCCCUAAUUGACCAUGUCAAACUCGAUGUGAAUGAUGCAAUUUCUAAAAAUUUAAAUUAAAAAAUAACAUAAAAAAUAAUUUAGACCAACCCGUCAAGCAUCAUUAUUAGAUUACGAGGCUAGGAUAACAUAAUAAAAAUAAAAUCAAAACAAACCACAAAGUCUAAAUUCUAAUAAAAUAUAUUAUUAAAUAAUAAAAUUGAAGAAAAAAAAUUAAUUAAAAGAAAUUCGAGUCAAUUAGGCUAACUUGCUAAGCCUGUGAGUUAGGUUAUAAAACAAAAAUAACCCAAUAAAAAGUAAUUUCACUAUUGAAGGACUCGUGAUCUACGUCAUGAAAUCAACAUAACCUCUUACAAACAAAAUAAAAAAAAAACAACUCAAUUUAAUUUGGAUUAAAAUGUCAAAACCUCCACCUCUAAUCAUAAAACUAGGAUAAUUAUAUAGAAAAUAAUUUGAAAUAGAUUAUGAAAUUCCAUUCCCAACUGACAUUAUAUCAAAUGAUAAAGUUAGAAAAAAAAUUCAAUUAAAAAAAUAUAAAAUAUAACCCGAGUCAAUUUAGGCUAAUAUGUUAAGUAUUAUUUCCAAUUUAUGAGGUUAGAAUAAUCUAAUACAAAACAAAUAAAACAAAAUAUGAAACUUAAUUUUUAAUUAAAAGAUAAAAUUGUAAAAAAAAUUUAAUUAAAAAAAAUCAAGUUAAGUGAGUGAAUCCAUUAAAUCUACAAUUUUUAUUAUAAAAGUGAGACAACUUAAUAAAAAUAAAUUAAUAUUAAAAUAAAAAACAUUCAAUAAAAAAAACACUCAUUCAGAUAAUUGUAUAAAACAUAAUAAUAUAAAGUAUAAUUUAUGAUUUAUUUAUUUAUUUUAGCAUUUAGUGAAGUCUUUCCAAUCAAACCCCUUUUUUUUUUUUAUAAUUUAUAAAAAAUAAAAAUAUUUUAUUUUAAUAAAUGUUUAAAUAAAAAACAAUAAGAGACAACCGUGACCACUUAAAUGGACUCCUAAGCACACCAAGUUAAGAGUUAAAGAGCCGAGAGAGAAAAAGCUUUUGCCAGUUCUUUACACAUUCUUUCCCCUUCUGUCACCUGAACAAAAUCCCCUCUUCUUCUUCUUGUUUGUUUACUCUUCCUUCGUUACUUUGCAAAGAGGAGAAACCAUGGCCGGGGCUUUAGUAGGAGGAGCUUUUCUUUCUUCUUUCCUUAAUGUUUUGUUCGACAGGAUGGCCUCUCCCCAGGUGAUUGCCUUCUUCAGAGGCCAAAAAGUCAACGAUAGUAGUCUGCUGCAGAACUUUGAAGAAAACAAUGACAUCUCUCAGGGUGGUGCUUGAAGAUGCUGAGGAGAAGCAGAUAACAAGUUUAACUGUGCGGGAUUGGCUGGUCGAUCUUAAAGACGCUGUCUAUAACGCCGACGACUUCUUGGAUGAGAUUGCUUAUGAAGCUCUACGGCAGGAGUUGGAAGCUGAAGAGCAAACCUUCACAGGUCAGACGCAGAAGCUUCUUUCUUUCAUUAACCCACUUGAAAUACUGGGGUCGAGAGAGAUCGAAGAAAAAAUAGAAGUCCUUUUGCAGGAUCUAGAUCCCUUAGUUGCAGGAAUGGCAGCCCUUGGUUUGAACAACCGCAAUGUAGAAAAUCCAUCAUCGCAUAGAACACCAACAACUUCUCUCGUGGAUGGAUCUGGUGUUUAUGGCAGAGAUGAUGACAGGGAAGCAAUACUGAAGUUGCUUCUAUCAAAGGAUGCAAAUGGAGGAAACCCUGGUGUCGUCCCCAUUAGGGGAAUGGGCGGGGUUGGUAAAACCACGCUUGCUCAGCUUGUAUACAAUCACAGAAGAGUACAGAAGCGGUUCGACCUCAAAGCUUGGGUUUGUGUUUCAGAAGAUUUCAGUGUUUUGAAGUUAACCAAGGCGAUCCUUGAGGGGUUCGGUUCAAAGCCUGCUUCUGAUAAUCUGGAUAAGCUCCAGCUUCAGUUGAAGGACAGAUUGGAGGGAAAGAGAUUCUUGCUUGUUUUAGAUGACGUUUGGAAUGAAGAUUAUGCUGAGUGGGACAAGUUGCUUACCCCCCUGAAGUACGGAGCACAAGGGAGUAAGAUUCUUGUCACAACACGCAAUGAAAGUGUAGCAUCAGUCAUGAGAACUGUUCCAACUCAUCAUCUAAAAGAAUUGACGGAAGACAGCUGCUGGUCCUUGUUUGCCAAACAUGCAUUUCGUGGUGAAAAUCCCAAUGCUCAUGAAGAGUUGCUAGAGAUUGGAAGAGAAAUAGUGAGAAAGUGUAAAGGCCUUCCUCUAGCUGCGAAAACACUCGGAGGUCUGCUACGCACCAAAAGAGAUGUCGAGGAGUGGGAGAAGAUAUUGGAAAGCAAUCUAUGGGAUUUACCCAAAGACAAUAUCCUCCCAGCUUUGAGAUUAAGUUAUCAUCAUCUCCCGUCACAUCUGAAGCAAUGUUUUGCUUAUUGUGCCAUAUUUCCAAAAGACCAUGAAUUUCAAAAGGAUGAAUUAGUGCUCUGUGGAUGGCAGAGGGCUUCUUAGUCCCUCUGCAGUAGAUGAUGAGAUGGAAAAGCAGGUGCUGAGUGCUUUGAUGAUCUCUUGUCAAGGUCGUUUUUCCAGCAAUCAAGUGCCUCGCUCAUCAUUUGUGAUGCACGAUCUCAUGCAUGACUUGGCUACCCAUGUGUCCGGUCAAUUUUGCUUCAGCUCCAGGUUGGGGGAAAAUAAUUCUUCCAAGGCCACAGAAGGACUCGACAUUUAUCACUCGUAGUAGAUACGGGAAGGGUUUUUCAAGCACAAAAUUAGAAAACAUCCGUGAAGCCCAACUUCUACGCACAUUCCAACUUUUCACGCUAUUGUUGUCCUCCCGAAUUUAUAAUGAGAUCUUUCAGUCAACACUUGGGCGCCUACGAGUGCUAAUCAUGACUGGUUGUAGAGAUCAACUUGUUAUGUUCAACUAGCAAGUUGAAGCAUUUGCGGUAUUUGGAUCUCUUCGGUCAGAUUUAGUAACGUUGCCUGAAGAAGUGAGUGCUCUUCUCAAUUUGCAAACGUUGAUCUUGAAAAUGCAAACAACUUGCUAGUCUACCUGAUCUUGGAAAUUUGAAGCACUUACGACAUCUGAAUCUUGAAGGAACAAGGAAUCGAAAGGUUGCCUGAAUCUCUGGAAAGGUUAAUCAACUUGCGGUAUCUUAACAUCAAGCACCCUUUGAAAGAGAUGCCACCACAUAUAGGUCAACUGGCAAAGCUCCAAACGUUGAAUUAUUUUCUCGUGGGAAGACAGAGUGAGACUAGCAUUAAAGAAUUGGGAAAGCUACGACAUCUACGGGGAGAACUUCAUAUUGGGAACCUUCAAAAUGUGGUGGAUGCUCGGGAUGCUGGUGAGGCAAAUUUGAAAGGUAAAAAGCACCUUGAUAAGCUGAGGUUUACAUGGGAUGGUGACACUCAUGACCCGCAACACGUAACAAGCACACUUGAGAAAUUAGAGCCAAAUAGAAAGCUGAAGGAUCUUCAGAUUGAUGAUUAUGGAGGUGUAAGGUUUCCAGAGUGGGUAGGAGAGUCCUCUUUCUCAAAUAUAGUGUCCUUGAAGCUCAAUGGAUGUACAAACUGCACCUCCUUACCACCGCUCGGGCAAUUAUCUUCUUUAGAGGAUCUCUCCAUUGAAGGAUUUUAUAAAGUUGUGACUGUGGGCUCUGAGUUCUAUGGGAGUUGUACUGCUAUGAAGAAGCCAUUUGAAUCCCUCAAAACAUUAUCUUUUAGAAGGAUGCCAGAGUGGCGCGAGUGGAUUUCAGACGAAGGCAGCCGGGAAGCCUUCCCUCUUCUUGAUGUGCUUUUAAUCGCAGAAUGCCCCAAAUUAGUUUCAUUUCCCAAAGGAGGGUUACCUGCUCCAGUCUUGACACGACUUGAGUUAGAAGAAUGCAGGAACUUGAAGCAGUUGCCUGAGAGUAUGCAUUCCCUCUUCCCAUCCCUUACCGAUUUGGUAAUAAGAGAUUGUUUAGAAGUUGAGUUGUGUCCAGAAGGGGGUUUUCCCUCCACAUUACAAUCACUUGAGAUUUCUAGAUGCAACAAACUCAUUGCUGGCCGCAUGCAAUGGGGCUUGCAAACGCUCCAUUCUCUUUCACGCUUUACAAUUGAUUGGGACGAAAAUGUUGAAUCCUUCCCUGAAGAGAUGCUGCUGCCCUCAAGUCUUACAUCUCUUAGAAUCUAUUCCCUACAACACCUGAAAUCUCUUGACUACAAGGGGCUUCAACACCUCACCUCUCUUAGAACAUUGAAUAUAAAGAACUGCCCUCUGAUUGAGUCAAUGCCAGAAGAAGGGUUGCCCUCCUCCCUUUCUUCUCUUGUAAUUGAAGGUUGUUCCAUGCUGAAAUCUCUUCCAAGGCUUCACCACCUCACCUCUCUUACAGCAUUGGGUAUAUAUGGCUGCCCUCUGAUUGAGUCAAUGCCAGAAGAAGGGUUGCCCUCCUCCCUUUUUAUUCUUUCAAUUCUCAAUUGUCCUCUGCUGGGUGAAAGUUGUGAAAGGGAGAAAGGUAAAGAUUGGCCCAAGAUUUCUCACAUUCCUCACAUAAGUAUAUAUUGAGGUAUUGCUACUAAAUAGUUUAUUUUCUUUUCAGUAAUCAAAGGCAAUUUCAGUUAAAAUUUGGAUGAAUGAAAUACAGAUAUUGUCCAUUUUGUAUUGUUUAUAUUUGUUGGAUGUUGAAAUACAGAUAUUUUCUUCCUAUUGUCUCUCAUUCAUCUCCAUAAAUAAUAAUCAUCAUUCUAUUUCAAUAUAUCGAGCUGGAGGAUCAUCACAUGCUUCAGAUUUUGAACUGCCAGCACCAUCCUUAAUUUGGACAGGGGGCUAUUAUCAUCGAAUUUUAGCAACGGGAUAUUUCUUUUGCUAAUUUAACAACAGAAUGUGUAUAUAUGAUUUUUUUAAUAUCAACAAUGAAUUUAGUAAUAGAAAAUCCAUUGCUAAAAAGGAUUAAAAAAUUAAAUUAUUUAACUAAUUUGCAGCGGAUUUUUCAUUAUUGACGCUCUUGGCAACAUCAAAUCUGCAACUGAUUCCAAAAAUAAAUCAAACCCUUAAUUAUAUAAAAUCUGCAUCUUCAAAAAUUAAAAUAAAAUUAAAAUUCACCAUCUCUUUCUCUAGUCUCUUCCCUUCUCCAAAAAAUCAAAAUUCAAAAACUUUUUUUUUUAUCUUUUAUAUAUUAUUUAACUUUGAUUAAAUUGUUUUUAUUCCAUAUAAAGCAGAAGUUAAAAAAUGAUUUUGGAGUACAUGUAAGUCAUAUCUUUUUUGGAAUUUGCUUUGAUAAAAAACAGACAUAAAGAGAGAAGAUAAUAUAAAAUUCAUGACUCCUUAUCGAUAUAUAUAUAUUUUUUUUCCUUAGUUCAUUCGUUUGAUUACAUUUUUGCUUCAACUCUCAUCAACACUCCCUUGUUUCGUUGCACGGCAUCAUUUAAAUGUACAUGGCUUGUGUUAUGUUCGGGAACAAAUAUUGGGCCAUUAACCUUUUCAAGCAAUGAUGGAGUAGGAGUGCAGUUAAAGAACACGCCCUAGCUGUUUGACAGAAUGCCGAUGAAGAUGAUAGUCAUUUUAGUGGUGCUGCUUGUAACAACCCAGGUAAGAAAACUAACGACCUCUUGAUGUGGUUUUCUAGGAAAUAAAUUAAAUGUUUUUAUUUGUUCAUGUGUUUUCUUCAGGAGGUGGUGCUAACCAGAGAAAGCUAAAGCAGAGGAGGAUGGCCAACAUGUUGGAAAGGUAAAAGGAUGAAGCCUUUUGUUAGAGGUCUAGGUGCUGUUGCACUAACAAAAGCACAUUGCCUUGAGGAAGCCCUCAAGUCUUACAUCUCUUCACAUCUAUUCCCUAAAACACCUGAAAUCUCUUGACUACAAUGCCAGAAGAAGGGUUGCCCUCCUCCCUUUUUGCUCUUUUUAUUAACAAUUGUGAGAGGGAGAAAGGGUUAAAUGAUCUUUGUAUAUUUGACUGUCCAGAUCUGGAAUCACUAUGUGCACAUGAAAGACCUCUCAAUGAUCACAACUCUCUCGAUUAUUUGGAAAUCGAGGACUGCCGUAAAUUAGUUUCAUUUCCCAAAGGAGGGUUACCUGCUCCAGUCUUGAGAGGACUUCAUUUAGAAGGUUGCAGCAACCUGAAGCAGUUGCCUGAGAGUAUGCAUUCCCUCCUCCCAUCCCUUAACCGUUUGUAUAUAAGUAACUGCCCUUUGAUUGAGUCAACGCCAGAAGAAGGGUUGCCCUCCUCCCUUUCUUCUCUUGUAAUUAACAGUUGUCCUAUGCUGAAAUCUCUUCCAAGGCUUCAACACCUCACCUCUCUUACACGAUUGAAUAUACAUCACUGCCCUCUGAUUGAGUCAAUGCCAGAAGAAGGGUUGCCCUCCUCCCUUUCUUCUCUUGUAAUUGAAGAUUGUCCUAUGCUGCGUGUAAGUUGUGAAAGGGAGAAAGGUAAAGAUUGGCUCAAGAUUUCUCACAUUCCUCACAUACAUAUUUGGAGAAGUUAAAGGAGCUAAUACAUAAAUCACAUUCUUUCAAUCGUCCAACAUAUUGAGGUAUUGCUACUAAAUAGUUUAUUUUCUUUUCAGUAAUCAAAGGUAAUUUCAGUUAAAAUUUGGAUGAAUGAAAUACAUAUAUUGUCCUAGAAAGUUGUAUGUUUUUAUUUGUUGGAUGUUGAAAUACAGAUAAUUUCUUCCUAUUGUCUCUCAUUCAUCUCCAUAAAUAAUAAUCAUCAUUCUAUUUCAAUAUCUUUUUUGCUAUAAUUAAUGCUACUAUUGUUCCUCUAUCAACUGCGGCAAAUAAACAUCACAUGCUUCCGAUUUUGAACUGCCAGCGCCACCCUUAAAAAACAAGUGUCCAUCUUAAAAGACAACGGGCCUAGCAGAGCUGAAAAGGAUUAAAAAAUAUUUAAAUAAUCUGCAACAUAUUUUUCAUUGUUGACGCGACAAAAUCAAAAUUCAAAAUUUAAAAUCUCCAUUCUCUCCUUAUCCGCAUCUUCAAAAAUUCAAAAUCUUUUCCCCACCUCUUUCUCUAAUCUAUUCCCCUUCUCCAAAAAUUCAAAAUCCAAAAACUUUUGAUUUGUUUAUUUUAUUAUCACUUAACUUUGAUUAAAAAACUUUUCUUGAAGUUUACUUCCAUCAAAGAUCUUUUAUAGAUAUAAAAAGAAGAGAUAAUAUAAAAUUCAUCCGCGUAUUGGAAUCACAAUUCAGAAUCAAGUGAAAGCGGCCAAUGUCACUCGAGAGAGUAGGCACUUGCAAAUCUGCUAAUAAUUAUUGGUGUUUAUUCCUCAUGAUGAUCCAGUGAGCUGACAAUAAAAGAAAACCUCGGCAUUACUAGUAAAUCGUCACUGCAAGCAUGGAAGAGAUUCAGGUAGGAAUUACCCUUGUCUUCAUUGAGAGGCUUUAACCUCCCUAGCUCCUUCAUCAGCAGGCCCAUGGUUCGAUGCAUCCUCUGAAGCGUCUAAGCAAGGAUUGCUUUUACACUGACUUACAGGCUGAGCACUGGUCAAGAGACUAGAAAGUUGAGACCCCCUUUGCGAAAAGUUUGGUUUACCUUUCGGAGUCUCAGACAGGCUUCCCGUUGACAGCUUUGAUAGGCCCAUAGUCAUGUGCUCACACGGGAGCUUAGUUGAAAAAGGUGAUUCAGGUGUAUCAGGAUGCUUCCCAGGAAUAUCCAUCGGUCUAUGAAACAGCAAAUGAGCCACAGUCCGGUCUACGGGAUUGGUCUCUGUUUCCACCUCAGGCAUCUUAACCACCCUGCAGUAUACUCAUAAAAUCCAUGAGGAAAAUGACAGGCAAGUUUGAGAUUGCCAUACUCUAAACAAAUUGAUAAAGACUUGAUUAAUAAUUUUGUGCAAACAAAUUGAAUAAUUUGGAAUGGGAAGGACGAGAUGUAAAGGAACAAACCCAGAGCACGUAUUGUUUGUACUGCUGGUUUCCUCUUUUGCAGCAACUUGUUCGUCCCUGCUACUGUUGUUUGUACUGCCAGUAUCACUAGCAUAAUGCCUUUGCAUUGCACUUUGAGCCAGCCGGAACAAGCUAUCCCGAAUACAAAGUCUAAUUCUGACAUCCAACUGUUGUAAAACAUUGGUUUGGAAUCGUAACCAAGCACAAAUUAUUUAGCAGGGAAAGAAUGCAAUAGUACGUGAAGCAUACCUUUGAAAUAAUAUCUUGAAGCCUGUAGAGUACUGUGUCCUCCAUUGAAUAAUCAUUAACCGCCAGAGAGACUGUAUUGGAAUCGUCUUGCUCAGUAGGUGAGUUUGGGUCAAAUGAAGCAAGUGUACUUAGAUCCUCUACUUCAAGGUCAGCUCCUUCAACAUGCUGAAUUUGAUUUUCUUGGGAACACUUUAGAUGAACAAGCUGCUGCUGCUGUUUCUGAAUGGCAAGCAUUGCCUGAAUUUGUUGCCGCCUCCUUAAUUUUUCAAUCUUUUCCUGAGGUGUCAUUCUCUGAGGUUUCACUGGACAGUCAGCUAACUUGUUUAUAGGAUCUGCAUUGCCUGAAACUUCAUAACCAGAAAUUUUAGGUCGAUGAUUAAAUGACUAGAAAUUUUGUUGGAAAGUCAGAAAACUUUAACAGGAUUCGCAUUACCUGAAGAAACUUCAUAACCAGAAGCUAAAGGUCGAUGCUUAAAAUCCCCAGACUGAAUGUGAGACAACCCAGGCAUAGAAUAUGGAUUUGUAAUACUCCCGUAUGCAGAAGGGGCCACAAAUGGAUUGGAUAUCUGCUGGUACUGCAACUGCUCGGAACCCUGUAGCUGUUUCUGUUGGCUGAGAAGUGAAAGGGGUGAAGAUUGCAUAAUUUGGGGUGCUAAAUGAUCCUUAAGUUGACAGGCUGGGAUUCCAGAUGAAGUCCAGUUUCCAUAAAAAUCUUGGUAUGAUUUCAGUUCACCUUCUUCUUCCAGUUUUUCCCGACCUUUCAAGAUCUUCUUUUGCCUGUAAGUCUGAUCACAGAACUAUAAACAUAUAAAUAGACAAAUUACUUAGAAUAGAUCAACGUUUUAACCAUCUAGACCUGCAGGGGAGAGUGACUAAGGCACAGUUAGUAUUUUAACUCAGUACAUGGUUUGUAAGGAUAAAUUCAAUGUUUUUUUUUUUUUUUAACUGUAACUUACGAUCCAAAGGGCUUCUAUUGUUCAGAAUAUAUUGAGGUAUUAGCUAAACUAUGCCAAGCAAACAGAAUUUGCAUGUCCCUGGGAAGAGUGGAUGCCAUGCUAGAAAUAUAAAUUACUGAUGCCUCCUGAAUUUUCACAUGUUAUUCCUUUCUCCUUCCUACUAACAGAAAACCACACAAUGGCUUUACUUUAGGCAAUCGAUAUCAUGGUUAAGUCAUGGAUUUGACAUCCAGGAUAACUUAAUUGAUGCAUUAUUGAAGUCAUGACUAAAUCAUGUAAAUCCAUAUUCACCCAACAUCCAAGUUUAUUCUCAUUCCAAAAAAUUAAACUAAAAAUAAUAGCAUGAAAUAUGAAGAGACGAAGAGGAAUUUAAAUAAUAUAAUUUCUCUUUUCUGUCGCCAUUUUCCAUUCCAGAGAAGUACUCAGGAAGUCUUAAUAAGUUCAAGUGUAAGGUAACUUUUACCCUUCCCAGCUCUAAUUAGGUUUCGCUGUCCCUCCAAUCUAAUUUAAGAUCUAAUAUGAGGAAACCACACUGUAUUAGUGAAAGGAUCACAAUAUCAAGAUUUUCCAACUUCAAUUCAAUGAUAUAACUUUUCUUGAAUCCUGGACAAAAGAACUUAGAACAUCAAAAGAUCAUAGCAGGAUUCUAAAAAACAAAGAUUGUAUUUGGUGCUUAUUGAGUCUAAAAGUUUUCCUGGAAGAAAAGGGUAAAAA